This 701-nucleotide long non-coding RNA is filed under the name Capsella grandiflora. RNAcentral's name for it is "long non-coding RNA (CGRA_LNC001686)". Lineage: Eukaryota; Viridiplantae; Streptophyta; Magnoliopsida; Brassicales; Brassicaceae. The record is from RNAcentral.
CUAUAUCGGUUGGAUCAUCGACCGGUUAACUGGUUUGCAAGGAAGGAGAGCAAAAAACGCGCAAGAUCUUGAUGCGUUCUAUGAACAAAUUAUUGAUCUGCAUAAAGAGAAAAAGGAAGUAGGUAGUGAAGAUUUUGUGGACUCACUCUUGAGAUUGGAGAAAGAAGAAACUGUUGUUGGAAAUGACAAGUUCACUAGAAAUAAUGUUAAAGCAAUCUUGAUGGUAAAUAAUAACACAUUCAAAAUCCAGUGGUAAGAUAUUUUGUCACAAUACCUAACUUAGUACUUGUAACAGGACAUUCUUUUAGCGGGCAUUGAAACUUCUGCAAUAAGCAUGAUAUGGGCGAUGACAGAACUUGCGAGGAACCCACAAGUGAUGAGGAAAGUUCAAUCUGAAAUCCGAAACAAAUGUGGGAAGAGAGAACUAAUCAGAUACGAAGACAUAGAUCAACUCCAUUACUUGAAAAUGGUGAUUAAAGAAUCAUGGAGACUACAUCCUCCAGCACCUCUUCUGCUUCCAAGAGAAGUAAUAUCUGAAUUCGAGAUCGAUGGCUACAAGAUUCAACCAAAGACACAGAUUCAUGUCAAUGUAUGGGCUAUAGGGCGUGAUCCUGAUACCUGGAAAGACCCGGAUGAGUUCUUUCCCGAGAGGUUUAUGGAUAGUAACAUUGAUACAAAAGGACAGAGCUUUGAGCUAUUAC